GACGAACGCUGGCGGCGUGCUUAACACAUGCAAGUCGAACGAAGAGCGACGGAAGCUUGCUUCUAUCACUCUUAGUGGCGAACGGGUGAGUAACGCGUAAUCAACCUGCCCUUCAGAGGGGGACAACAGUUGGAAACGACUUCUAAUACCGCAUACGAUCUAAUCUCGGCAUCGAGGAUGGAUGAAAGGUGGCCUCUACAUGUAAGCUAUCACUGAAGGAGGGGAUUGCGUCUGAUUAGCUAGUUGGAGGGGUAACGGCCCACCAAGGCGAUGAUCAGUAGCCGGUCUGAGAGGAGGAACGGCCACAUUGGGACUGAGACACGGCCCAGACUCCUACGGGAGGCAGCAGUGGGGAAUCUUCCGCAAUAGACGAAAGUCUGACGGAGCAACGCCGCGUGAGUGAUGACGGCCUUCGGGUUGUAAAGCUCUGUUAAUCGGGACGAAAGGCCUUCUUGCGAAUAGUGAGAAGGAUUGACGGUACCGGAAUAGAAAGCCACGGCUAACUACGUG
RNAcentral lists this ribosomal RNA (510 nucleotides) under uncultured bacterium. RNAcentral's name for it is "partial 16S ribosomal RNA". It matches the Rfam family "Bacterial small subunit ribosomal RNA", at positions 28 to 507 of the family's 1533-position model. The record is from RNAcentral.